Molecule: long non-coding RNA, 1839 nt
Organism: Bubalus bubalis (water buffalo)
Lineage: Eukaryota; Metazoa; Chordata; Mammalia; Artiodactyla; Bovidae
Exons: 2
Source: RefSeq, a predicted model, not a curated record
AUGAAUAUUCAGGGCUGAUCUCCUUCAGAAUGGACUGGUUGGAUUUCCUUGCUGUCCGAGGGACUCUCAAGAGUCUUCUCCAGCGACACAGUUCAAAAGCAUCAAUUCUUUGGUGCUCUGCCUCCUUCAUGGGUUUAUCAUACAUGGCUUUUAUUAUUUUGAGGUAGAUUUCCUUUCUGGAGGAACUGUUAUCAUAAACUUUCUGGAGAAUUUUAUCAUAAAUGCAUGUUGAAUUUUAUCAAAAGACUUUUCUGCUUUUAUUGCGAUGAUCAUAUAGUUUUUAUUCUUCAGUUUGUUAAUGUGUAUCAUGCUGAUUGGUGAAUAUUGAAAAAAUCCUUGCAUCCCUGGGAUAAAUCCCACUUGAUAUUUGUGGUAGACCCUUUUAAUGUACUCUUGGAUUCAGUUUGCUGGUUUUUUUUUUUUGAGGACUUUUGCGUCUAUUUGUAAGUGAUAUUGGCCUGUAAUUUUUUUCCUAUGUGAUAUUUUUAUCUGAUCUUGAUAUCAACGUGAUGGUGGCCUCAUAGAGUGAGUAUGAAAGUAUUUUUUCCUCUGCAAUUUUCUGGAAUAGUUUCGCAAGGAUAGCUGUUAACUUUUCUAUAGAUGUUUGAUAGAACUCACCUGUGAAGCCAUCUGGUCCUGGACUUCUGUUUGUUGGGAGUUUUUAAAUUACACAUUCAGUUUCAGUUCUUGUAAUUGAUCUGUUCAUAUCUUCUGUGUCUUCCUAGUUCAGUCUUGGAAGAUUAUACCUUUCUAAGAAUUUGUCCAUUUCUUUUCAGUGUCCAUUUUAUUGACAUCCAGUUCCUUGUAGUAGUAUCUUAUGGUCCUUUAUAUUUCUGUGGUGUCAGGAAUAAUUUUCAUUUUUAAUUUUAUUGAUUAGGGUCCUUUCCCUUUUUUUCUUUAUAAGUCUGGCUAAAGGUUUAUCAAUUGUAUAAUUUUUUUUCUCUUUUUUCCUGAGGUAAGCUUUUCUUAAUAUAAACUUCCGUCUUGGAAUUGCUUUUGCUGGAACCCAUAGGUUUUGCCCUGAGGCUCAUACAGUAUGGAAAGAGUUGCUGAAUUAUACCACCUACUUUCCUUUGGAUGGUGAAUAUCUCCAUUAAGUGUUUGGUGCUCAAGUUCCUCGGCUGUGUCCAACUCUUUGUGGUGCUGUGGACUAUAGUCCACCAGGCUCUGCUCUCUGUGGGAUUCUCCAGGCAAUACUGGAGUGGGUUGCCAUGCCCUUCUCCAAUCUCCAUCAAGACUUAAUUCUAUUAAUAACCAACAAAUACUUUCACGGAGUGACCUUGUUAGCUCCUAUUACCUAGUUUCAAUAUGUUUAGAUCCCAUAUUCUCAGUUACUGAUGACAUCCUCUGUAUUUUCCGGAUCGUAUUUGCUAUAUUCAAGAGAACACUGUAUCCUUUACCACCAUGCGUUUCUAGAAUUUAAUUUUAAUCCUGCCCAUUUCUACUAGCUAAAGAUAAUGUGGGAUAUUGAUGCAUCUGUCCUUUUUCAUUUUGAUAGAUUCCCUAAUAUAAAAACCAGUUAUGUACAUGAAAAAUACCACUGUUUCUACUUUGAUACCUAUUUCACUUGUAUAGCAUUCUUCUGAGUAGCCAUAUUUCAUUGAUAUAAUCAAUAGAGCAAAAGCUUAUUAAUUAAACUAAUUCAAUUUUUAUAGGCAUUUCAACAUUGAUUACACACCUAAUGAAUUUUCUGUUUAAUUCAAAUCAGUCUGACAUAUCUGAUUCUCUUAAAUGCUUUUAAGCACCGUAUGGAGCACAAUACACACAUAUUAAACUUAUUGAAAAUUGGAUUGGUUCAAUCAGGUCAAAAGUGCUAAUAAAUUUAAUAGUGUUUCUCUA